Molecule: transfer RNA, 71 nt
Filed under: Etrumeus teres (red-eye round herring)
Lineage: Eukaryota; Metazoa; Chordata; Actinopteri; Clupeiformes; Dussumieriidae
Also listed under: 1 other name
Description: tRNA-Gly
Rfam family: tRNA
About the family: Transfer RNA (tRNA) molecules are approximately 80 nucleotides in length. Their secondary structure includes four short double-helical elements and three loops (D, anti-codon, and T loops).
Source: RNAcentral
AUCUUUCUAGUACAAAGUCAGUAUAGAUGGCUUCCACCCAUUCGAUCUUGGUUAAAAUCCAAGGAAAGAUA